This 1224-nucleotide ribosomal RNA is filed under the name metagenome. Its description in RNAcentral is "bacterial SSU rRNA". It matches the Rfam family "Bacterial small subunit ribosomal RNA", at positions 288 to 1498 of the family's 1533-position model. The record is from RNAcentral.
AGGCCUGAGAGGGUGGCCUGCCAUACUGGGAUUGAGAUACGGCCCAGACUCCUACGGGAGGCAGCAAAUCGGAAUAAUCCACAAUGGGAGAAAUCCUGAUGGUGCGACGCCGCGUGAGCGAUGACGGCUUUCGGGUUGUAAAGCUCUGUGUUAUGGGAAGAAAAUCUGGUGGACUAAUAAUCCUCCGGCCUGACGUACCAUAAUAGAAAGCCCCGGCUAACUACGUGCCAGCAGCCGCGGUAAUACGUAGGGGGCAAGCGUUGUUCGGAAUCACUGGGCGUAAAGGGCGUACAGGCGGCUAUGUAAGUCGGAUGUGAAAUCCUCGGGCUUAACCCGAGAUCUGCACUCGAUACUGCAUGGCUUGAGAUCAGGAGAGGAGAGUGGAAUAUGUGGUGUAGCGGUGAAAUGCGUAGAUAUCACAUAGAACACCGGUGGCGAAGGCGGCUCUCUGGCCUGAUUCUGACGCUGACGCGCGAAAGCUAGGGUAGCGAACGGGAUUAGAUACCCCGGUAGUCCUAGCCGUAAACGAUGGGUACUAAGUGUAGAAGGUCAUUGACCCCUUCUGUGCUGUAGCUAACGCAUUAAGUACCCCGCCUGGGGACUACGGCCGCAAGGCUAAAACUCAAAGUAAUUGACGGGGGCCCGCACAAGCGGUGGAGCAUGUCGCUUAAUUCGAAGCAACGCGAAGAACCUUAUCCAGUGGCUUGACAUCCUCUGACAACCGUGGAAACACGGCUUUCCCUUCGGGGACAGAGUGACAGGUGCUGCAUGGCAGUCGUCAGCUCGUGUCGUGAGAUGUUGGGUUAAGUCCCGCAACGAGCGCAACCCCUGUCUCUAGUUGCCAGCGCGUAAUGGCGGGGACUCUAGAGAGACUGCCGGCGAUAAGCCGGAGGAAGGUGGGGAUGACGUCAUGUCCUCAUGGCCCUUAUGCCCUGGGCUGCACACGUGCUACAAUGGUCGGUACAGAGGGUCGUGAAACCGCGAGGUGGAACCAAUCCCUUAAAGCCGGUCUCAGUUGGGAUUGUAGUCUGCAACUCGACUACAUGAACGUGGAAUCGCUAGUAAUCGCGAAUCAGCAGGUCGCGGUGAAUACGUUCCCGGGCCUUGUACACACCGCCCGUCACACCACGAAAGUCGUUGGCAUUCGAAGCCUGUGAGCUAACCCUUCGGGGAGGCAGCAGUCGAAAGUGAAACCGAUGAUUGGGGUGAAGUCGUAACAAGGUA